AAGAACAAAAUAUUUGAGUAUAUAUUUGAUUCUAAUGAGUUAUUUAAACUUUUAAAAAGAGGUUUUAGGAAGCUAAAGCCAUAUUUCAAAAAAUUCCUUGGUUUUCAUCUUAAAUAUUCAAAGAAGUAAAGAUCAAGGAGGCCACAUCAUAAAGAAUCAAGUGAAGAAGGUUAAAAGCUAACUCCAAGUCUUUACAUCAGAUGGCAC
This 207-nucleotide long non-coding RNA is filed under the name Elaeis guineensis (African oil palm). RNAcentral describes it as "long non-coding RNA (EGUI_LNC032391)". Lineage: Eukaryota; Viridiplantae; Streptophyta; Magnoliopsida; Arecales; Arecaceae. The record is from RNAcentral.